This is a non-coding RNA of Schistosoma curassoni, 46 nucleotides long. The record is from Rfam. Lineage: Eukaryota; Metazoa; Platyhelminthes; Trematoda; Strigeidida; Schistosomatidae.
ACACUGCUGAGGAGUCCCAUACUAAGACGAAACGGCCGUCCAGUGC